This 440-nucleotide ribosomal RNA is filed under the name uncultured bacterium. Its description in RNAcentral is "partial 16S ribosomal RNA". It matches the Rfam family "Bacterial small subunit ribosomal RNA", at positions 338 to 795 of the family's 1533-position model. The record is from RNAcentral.
CCUACGGGUGGCAGCAGUGGGGAAUAUUGCACAAUGGGGGGAACCCUGAUGCAGCGAAGCCGCGUGAGUGAAGAAGUAUUUCGGUAUGUAAAGCCCUAUCAGCAGGGAAGAAAAUGACGGUACCUGACUAAGAAGCCCCGGCUAACUACGUGCCAGCAGCCGCGGUAAUACGUAGGGGGCAAGCGUUAUCCGGAUUUACUGGGUGUAAAGGGAGCGCAGACGGCUGUGCAAGUCCGGAGUGAAAGCCGGGGGGCCAACCCCCGGAUUGCUCUGGAAACUGUAAAGCUGGAGUGCAGGAGAGGUAAGCGGAAUUCCUGGUGUAGCGGUGAAAUGCGUAGAUAUCACGCAGAACCCCGAUUGCGAAGGCAGCCUUCCGGCGCCCGACUGAUGCUGAGGCACGAAAGUGCGGGGAUCGAACAGGAUUAGAUACCCCUGUAGUC